Molecule: ribosomal RNA, 132 nt
Filed under: Microtus ochrogaster (prairie vole)
Lineage: Eukaryota; Metazoa; Chordata; Mammalia; Rodentia; Cricetidae
Source: RNAcentral
UCUACUAACUAGACCACCCUGCACGUGUCUGCUCUCACCUCAUCUCAGAAACUAAGCAGAGUUAGGCCUGAUUGGUACUUGAAUGGGUUGAAUGGGUGUCUUGACCUCCUAUGAGUUUCUAGCUUUCUAUAC